Molecule: ribosomal RNA, 266 nt
Filed under: uncultured Staphylococcus sp.
Lineage: Bacteria; Bacillati; Bacillota; Bacilli; Caryophanales; Staphylococcaceae
Description: partial 16S ribosomal RNA
Rfam family: Bacterial small subunit ribosomal RNA
Source: RNAcentral
CGGCGGACGGGUGAGUAACACGUGGAUAACCUACCUAUAAGACUGGGAUAACUUCGGGAAACCGGAGCUAAUACCGUAUAAUAUAUUGAACCGCAUGGUUCAAUAGUGAAAGACGGUUUUGCUGUCACUUAUAGAUGGAUCCGCGCCGCAUUAGCUAGUUGGUAAGGUAACGGCUUACCAAGGCAACGAUGCGUAGCCGACCUGAGAGGGUGAUCGGCCACACUGGAACUGAGACACGGUCCAGACUCCUACGGGAGGCAGCAGUC